RNAcentral lists this long non-coding RNA (4896 nucleotides) under Theobroma cacao (cacao). Its description in RNAcentral is "long non-coding RNA (TCAC_LNC000018)". The record is from RNAcentral. Lineage: Eukaryota; Viridiplantae; Streptophyta; Magnoliopsida; Malvales; Malvaceae.
GCCACAGAUAAAUUCAGUCACUUUGUGAUAAGCCCACACUCCAAAAUGAUCAAUUUAUUCAUGCAAGAAAGGCCCUCUUUACUAGAGAUAAGUGAUAAAUUUAGGAUUUUGAAUGAGAAGUAAUUAAAUGGUAAUUAUAAAGAUAAUAAUGUUACAUAUAAAAUUUUAUAUUUCUAAUAAUAAAAAAAAAUAAAUAUUGAGAGAUCACAGCUGUCACCACAUGUCACCUCUUGGCUCUGCCCAUCCUACGUAGCUAACUUAAAUAUUAUUCUUUUAGGGUCAUUUGUUUCUUUCAAUCAAUAAUCCCACCUAACUGAACUGCGGUGAAUGACUUGAUGCUGAGACCUGCUCAAAGCCUACAAGCCAAUGGUACAAUGAACUUCGGAGUUGGGACUAUGUUACAUUGCUCGGACAAGUCAUAAGCCACAUUAAUGGACAUUUCAAGUUCAAUCUACCAAUUGGCCAUUUCACCAAUGUCCUAUUACUUUCAGCUUACCCCGUAAUCUAGGGGAUAUAGAAGUUGAAGUUGUUCUUAACAUGGCCAUGAUCUCCAAGGUUGACUAAGUCUUGCCAUUGUCACUGGUAGCCUGAAGCCCACCAACUUGGUUCUGAAGCAACAGGGUGAUCGUGCUAGGGUCCGUGUGGCGCUUGAGCCCGACGGUGAGGUAGGGUUGUGGACAUUUGGGAUAGAAAUUGACCACCACUUUCUGAUCCAUGUCCAUGCUUACCUUAGUCAAAGCCUCCUUGUCUAAGUCCAUGGCCUCUGGCAACACUUCAAGAAGCUUGCAGGCUAGGCCCAUCAGCUUGUCGCUGUACUCCUUUGUCACUUCUACCCAUCCCUCUGGCUUAUCGGGCCACCUUGAAUAGUCCCGGGCCUUGAGUGGGUAUGAAAAGUAUGCCACAAGCUCUCGCCAGUGUUGCACUGCUUCUCCCUGUAACAAAGAUCAACGUCAUGGAUGGAGGUUAUUAAAAACAAAAUUUCAUGUCUCUGUUAUCUGUUGUUCAACGCAGAUUUAUCAUUAUUUUAAUAAACCAAUUGCGUAUUUCACGGGAGAAAAAAACCAAUUCAUAGCUAAUAAGAUACUUUCAAUGAUAGUCAUAGAAAGAAGCUAUAUGCCCUGGGAAGACCAGAUAAGUCAACAGCAACUAGCAAACAGUCCUAUUCAACCCAAAAAAGGGCCAAAAGCAAAGUACCUUAAGGUGGUUGGAGACGAUGAAGCCACCCUUCUUGGCACCAGACAUAUCAAAGCGAAGCUUCUCUUAAGCAGACAAAGCGAAAAACUCCCUGGCAUCAACGAAGAUACCCCAAUUCUCACAAGCCUCGACGAUUUUCUUGCGUAUCUCAGCCCUCUUGCCAUCAACGUCAUCGAUCCCAGCGAGAGAGAUCACGGGAUUUCGUUGUUGAAUUUGUUGUAAGCAACCUUAGGACGCUCAUCUUCAUCACGAACAAAGCUUGCCUGUAAGGUUUUCUCUUCUGCAAGGGCAGUGAUAGUUGAAGGAGCCAUUAACGCUGAACCUGGAAACAUUCUCCUGGUUUUAAUGGGGCAUGCGUUAAAUAAGUAUUUAUCUUCCUUAACAAGGAAAGUUAGCGUAGAAUGCGAUAUAGCUGUUGAGUAGAAGAGGAGAUUUAUAUAAACAUAAGCAAGCUGUUUGGAAGGUGAAAAACUGAAAAUUAAGAAACAGGGAAGGGCGUGGCAGCCCCAGCUACCCUUCAAAGCUCGUGAGUAACCUCGCACUAAAUCCCCUCUCCCUCCCGUGCCCCACUUUCUUGCCCGGUUAAUAUAAUCACGUCAUGUGUACUAUGUUUUUAACGACGUUUGAAGGGUUAGUAAUCGACACGCCAAGUAACUCUGUGGAGAAAAGCCCGCACUUGGUAGGUCUUGCUACCACUUCCGCUGCAGCAACCAUAGUAUUAUUUUCCAACGCCGCCUCUUACAGCCAUGGACUCUCCAAUCAGGAAAAAGGUUUGCAUCAUCGGCAGCGGCCCCGCUGCCCGUACGGUCGCCAUCUACACCGCCCGUGCUGAGCUGAAGCCCAUUCUCUUCGAGGGCUGGAUGGCUAACGACAUCUCCCCUGGCGGUCAGCUGACCACCACAACCGAUGUCGAGAACUUCCUUGGAUUCCCGGACGGCAUCAUGGGCAUGGAGCUUAUGGAUGUGCACCACUCUGCAACGAGAAAAUUUAUCGUAUGGUCCAUCUUUAGAUGAAUCUUCACCUUUUCUCCUGGAAGAACUGAGAAAAUUAGAAAACACAUGCUCUUGCAGGGGAGAGACCGAGAACUCUUCAACCUCACUUAGACUCCUGAAAACUUGGUGACAUGGUUCUUCAGAAAAAAAAAAAAAACUAAUGUAAAAUACAUGAUGGCGACCCUCUUUAAUUUCCUGUACUUGCACCACUCUGCAAGACUUAUUAUGAAAAGGAAACAAACUGCAGAAUAUUUACAAUCACUGGCUUAUCAUCUGCAGUUGCUCCGUUUGUAUACUUUCCAUAAUAAUAGUUCAUAUGGCAAACUGAAAUACCUUUCCUUUGUUGAUCUGGAUCGUUUUUUUUUUUUUUUAUUAGGUUCUUCUCUUGGUCACUUCCUGAUUCUUGCACUAGAGGAGGCAGAGGAUUUCUGUUCCACACACACAGCCAGCUACCAGCCUUUCUUUCCUUGGUUUCUGUUUUUCAUUCUAGAUAUUCUAACACUACAAAUAUUCUAUAUAAUUAUAUUGUUUUAUUUUUAAAAGAAUCAAUUUAUGUAAUUAUCUUAACAGAAAUAAUUGAUAUAACUUUUUUUUUAAAUCAAUUUGUAUAAUUAUCUUAACAAGGGAAUUUUGUAAAUUCCAAUUCACUCCAUAAUUUUUGGAUGUUUCUUCUUGUAGGAUCAUUGAUAUAUUAGUGGACCAUGAGAAGAAGUUUGAGGUGUUGGGAGUGUUGUCACAGUGUGUAUCCCACUUAGUCACUUACCAUAAAUAAGGCAAGGACUAUUAGUAUUUAUGGUAACAUUUAGAUAUAUUUUGUGGUGAAUUUAUUCAUACAAAAGAAAACUAAAGAAAAGGGUUGAGAGAAUCUAUAAUUUGCUUUUAUUUGAUGUACCGUAAUGUAUAAUACUUUUACACUAUCAUUUAAUUAUAAAAUAUAUAUAAUUUCAUAAUAAUUAUAAAAAGAUAAAAGUUCAAUUUUUAAAAAAUAAUGAGUAUUUAUUUUUUUUAAGAUUUUCAAUUUUUGAUUACAUUGGGAAAAAGAAUAGUUGUUAAAAAUUCUUUAAUAGAAUGUAAGGUGCAUGCUCCAAGUAUGAAAUGAUUACCAUUUAGAUAUCCUUGGCUAUGAAUCUAUGAUCACAUAAAAUCAUUAUAAAAUUAAUCAAGAGAUAAUAUUUUUUUUCUCGAAAAAAAAUUAUCCAACAUUUUAAUCUCUAUUAAUUAGAAUACCAUUUAGAAAAUCAUAUGCACCAGCGCAGGGAAAGCAAGAACAUUCCUGCUGUUUUACGGCCAAAUUUCACUUGAAAAGGGAGUUUUUCCGGGAAUGAGACGGGAAAAACUUUUAGUAAUAUUUGUUUCGUGCCCCUUGGGACUCUUCUUCUCUCACACUUUAAUUAUUGGCUUUUGGGGUUGUAGGUGAGGAUGUGAGAUGCUUCUCAUUAUAUGAAAAUGAUAAGUAUACCUCAAUCACAAUUUGAAUUGAAGCAACAAAGCUAGGGGCUAGUAAGGAGUUGAGGCAGUGGCUUUUAUUUUAUUUUUUACUUGCACAACAUAUUGCUACAACAAAUGAAAGGGGGCACCACCAUAAGAAGAGUAGUGCAAAUGCAUUAAAACUAGUAAGCACAAUGGAAAACAAAACAGUCGCAAUUGUUGUGGCAUUAACACGACCAGUAAACUUAAUAAAGGUUUAUGCAAGGAUUUUCUCCAGAGGCUUGGCUUCCAGUUUGGUUUUCUCAAUCUCCUGCACCUGCUGCUGCUCCUUGGCCAGCUUCUUUAGCCUGGCAAGCUCCAGAUCCUUGCUCAUCUUCCUCCUGUACAUCUCAGCAAAUGUGAUGGGCUCCUCGAGAAUUGGUUGCUCUCCCUCCCUGAUCCUGAGUGGGUACACGGUUGCAUCCGGUGCUGGGUUUUGGAAUGUAGCUAUGGACAAUCUGCUGCAGUCUGAGUUCACCACAGCUUGGUGAUCAGCGUUCUUGAACCUCCCAUUGCUCAGAAACUGCUCAGCACAGGUAAAUUCAGUCACUUUGUGAUUACCCCACACUCCAAAAUGAUCAAUUAAUUCACAUAUGGAAACUCCUCCUUGCAAGAGAUCCUACCUAGCUACCUUAAACAUUAUUCUUUUACAGAGUGUCAUUUGUUUCUUUCAAUCAAUAAUCCUACCUAACUAAACUGCGGUGAAUUGAUUGAUGCUAAGACCUACUCAAAGCCUAUAAGUCAAUGGUACAGUGAACUAGAUAGUUGGGACCAAGUUACAUUGCUUGGACAAGUCAUAAGCCACAUUAAUGGACAUUUCAAGUUCAAUCUACCAAUUAGCAAUUUCACCAACGUCUUAUUACUUUCAGCUCAUCACGUAAUCAAUAGAGCAUAGUUAGGCUUGCGGGUGUAGAAGUUGAAGUUGUACUUACAUGGCCAUGAUCUCCAAGGUUAACCACAAAGGCCCCUUCAACAGGUUGAACAGUGAUCCAAGUCUUGCCAUUGUCCCUCGUAGCCUGAAGCCCACCAACUUGGUCCUGAAGCAACAGGGUGAUUGUUCCAGGGUCCGUGUGGCGCUUGAGUCCGAGGGUGAGGUCGGGUUGUGGACAUUUGGGAUAGAAAUUAACCACCACUUUCUGGUCCAUGUCCACGCAUGCCUUAGUCAAAGCCUCCUUGUCUAAGUCCAUGGCCUCUGACAACACUUCAAGAAGCUUGCAGGCUAGGCCCAUCAGCUUGUCGCUGU